Non-coding RNA from Triticum aestivum (bread wheat), 125 nucleotides. The record is from Rfam. Lineage: Eukaryota; Viridiplantae; Streptophyta; Magnoliopsida; Poales; Poaceae.
CAUCUACUCCCUCUGUCCAGAAAUACUCGUCGGAGAAAUGAAUGUAUCUAGACGUAUUUUAGUUUUACAUACAUUCAUUUUUAUCAAUUUCUUCGACAAGUAUUUUCAGACGGAGGGAGUACUUA